CAAUAGCGUAUAUUAAAGUUGUUGCAGUUAAAAAGCUCGUAGUUGGAUUUGUGGCGUACGACGGGCUCCGGGCACUUGUUGUCUGAGUAGCUUGUCGUUGCCAUCCUUGGGUGGAACCUGUGUGGCAUUAGGUUGUCGUGCAGGGGAUGCCCAUCUUUUACUGUGAAAAAAUUAGAGUGUUCAAAGCAGGCUUAUGCCGUUGAAUAUAUUAGCAUGGAAUAAUAAGAUAGGACUUUGUCGCUAUUUUGUUGGUUUGCGCGAUAAGGUAAUGAUUAAUAGGGACAGUUGGGGGUAUUCGUAUUCCAUUGUCAGAGGUGAAAUUCUUGGAUUUACGGAAGACGAACUACUGCGAAAGCAUUUACCAAGGAUGUUUUCAUUAA
Molecule: ribosomal RNA, 380 nt
Filed under: uncultured eukaryote
Lineage: Eukaryota
Description: partial 18S ribosomal RNA
Rfam family: Eukaryotic small subunit ribosomal RNA
Source: RNAcentral